Molecule: long non-coding RNA, 286 nt
Filed under: Elaeis guineensis (African oil palm)
Lineage: Eukaryota; Viridiplantae; Streptophyta; Magnoliopsida; Arecales; Arecaceae
Description: long non-coding RNA (EGUI_LNC041527)
Source: RNAcentral
UUGGAUUUGUGUCCUAGAAGUCAAUUGUUGGCUGACACAUUAUGUAUUUUCAGGAUCUAAAUUUAUACUUGUAAUACUUUCAUUAUAAAUAGAGGAUUUUUUCUUUCCAAUCAUGCUAUGUGUCCAUGAUUUGUCCUAGAAUUAACAAAGAUGAUUUUUGUAUAUUCUUAAAGAGUUAAGAAUUUGAGACAUACAUUAAUUAGUGGUUAAUUUUUAAAUACUCCCGAUCAAGGGAUCAUCACGGAGGACAGUGAUCAAUCCAUUUAAGAUCGGUGCAUGGUUUACC